Molecule: ribosomal RNA, 431 nt
Filed under: uncultured bacterium
Lineage: Bacteria
Description: partial 16S ribosomal RNA
Rfam family: Bacterial small subunit ribosomal RNA
Source: RNAcentral
ACGAACGCUGGCGGCAGGCCUAACACAUGCAAGUCGAGCGGACCUUUCGGGGUCAGCGGCGGACGGGUGAGUACGCGUGGGAAUAUGCCCUUCUCUACGGAAUAGUCCUGGGAAACUGGGGGUAAUACCGUAUACGCCCUUUGGGGGAAAGAUUUAUCGGGGAAGGAUUAGCCCGCGUUGGAUUAGGUAGUUGGUGGGGUAAUGGCCUACCAAGCCGACGAUCCAUAGCUGGUUUGAGAGGAUGAUCAGCCACACUGGGACUGAGACACGGCCCAGACUCCUACGGGAGGCAGCAGUGGGGAAUCUUAGACAAUGGGGGCAACCCUGAUCUAGCCAUGCCGCGUGAGUGAUGAAGGCCUUAGGGUUGUAAAGCUCUUUCAGCUGGGAAGAUAAUGACGGUACCAGCAGAAGAAGCCCCGGCUAACUCCGUG